This 253-nucleotide ribosomal RNA is filed under the name uncultured bacterium. RNAcentral's name for it is "partial 16S ribosomal RNA". It matches the Rfam family "Bacterial small subunit ribosomal RNA", at positions 524 to 776 of the family's 1533-position model. The record is from RNAcentral.
UACGGAGGGUGCGAGCGUUGUCCGGAAUUAUUGGGCGUAAAGAGCUUGUAGGCGGUUUGUCGCGUCUGCUGUGAAAAUCCGGGGCUCAACCCCGGACUUGCAGUGGGUACGGGCAGACUAGAGUGUGGUAGGGGAGACUGGAAUUCCUGGUGUAGCGGUGAAAUGCGCAGAUAUCAGGAGGAACACCGAUGGCGAAGGCAGGUCUCUGGGCCACUACUGACGCUGAGGAGCGAAAGCGUGGGGAGCGAACAGG